RNAcentral lists this non-coding RNA (27 nucleotides) under Homo sapiens (human). Lineage: Eukaryota; Metazoa; Chordata; Mammalia; Primates; Hominidae. The record is from RNAcentral.
UGCCUGGUAAGGGCUUUUGGGUGUCGA